This 253-nucleotide ribosomal RNA is filed under the name uncultured bacterium. Its description in RNAcentral is "partial 16S ribosomal RNA". It matches the Rfam family "Bacterial small subunit ribosomal RNA", at positions 524 to 776 of the family's 1533-position model. The record is from RNAcentral.
UACGUAGGGUGCGAGCGUUGUUCGGAAUUACUGGGCGUAAAGGGCUCGUAGGCGGCCAACUAAGUCAGACGUGAAAUCCCCAGGCUCAACCUGGGAACUGCGUCUGAUACUGGAUGGCUUGAAUCCGGGAGAGGGAUGCAGAAUUCCAGGUGUAGCGGUGAAAUGCGUAGAUAUCUGGAGGAAUACCGGUGGCGAAGGCGGCAUCCUGGACCGGCAUUGACGCUGAGGAGCGAAAGCCAGGGGAGCAAACGGG